UUUCAAAUGGUGAGUAGUCCAAGCCAAACUAACCAGAUAUACAUAUACCCCUCGCUUCGCGAUUAAUUCAUUCAUGCAUCGCACUCUGCAGUGUACUCGCUUGAUCUGGAUCUUGUGAAUUUUCAGGUGUUGUUGGGGCUUUUCUCUUGUUGUUUCACGUUUAUAUUGAUUAGUGUCCGGUGGUGAAAUUGAGAAAACAAGAUGGUUGUACUAGCGGCUUCCAUCAUAAGUAAAUCGGGCAAAGGUAGGCCCCUAACUUUUUUUUUCCAUGUAUUACUUCUCCUGAUUUUGAAUAUGUAAGUUGGAUAUGUGAGGAUGCUAUCUUUGGUCAGUGCUUUUAGUUGUUAUAGCUAUUUUUCCAUGCCCGUGCUGAAUGUAAGAAAAAUCUCUUUGGCAUUGUAAUGAUCUCAGUCUGUCCUAAAAGCCCUCUGCUAGAACAUUACAUUCGAGAAUGAUUAGGCGAACAUGAAUAUGAUUAUGCAUGCAUGCUAAUUAAUAUGUCUGUUUGCAGAAUCGAUUGACAGGGACAUCGAUAUUUAUUAAGUACUUUGUUUUCUUGGUUUGGACUGCACAUACUUCAUCUAUUAUUUUAUCGUACUGGCCUUCUUGUGGUCUUUCCUAGUUAUUUUUACAUCUGUCGUGUAAUUUGGUUCUGUCCAUUUUGUUUCAUACCUAUAUGCAUUUUCCAUGCAUUGUCUUUUCUUAUCAAUUAUCAUACAUUUGUUUAUAAAGUUUUCUUUAUGGUCCUUGUGCCUUCUGUUGAACUUUCAUGACACGCCUUUUUUAAUGUUUAUAUGUUCACGUUUGAUUUUUAGUUAUGCUGCUCAGCUUUUUUAGAAGAAAUUUGGGGACAAAAGAAUCUGAUUUUAGAAGAAUCUGAUUUUAGAAGAAAUUUGGGGACAAAAGAAGCUUUACUUGUCUUUAUCUAUUUUUUCUCUUCAACAUAGAAAUCAGAAAUAAUGUGAAGCUUCUGCUUCAUUCAAUCUCCCUCUUUAUCUCUGGUUAUCUUCUUCCUCAGGUAUGUACAUUACUUAUAAAAUAAACUAACUAUUUUAGUUUGUGUAUGCAAUUAACUAGACACAGCUGCACAAUCUUGAAGAAGUCAUUUUUCAUUCCAGACUUGGGUUUUCAUAUAAUUCAUAGUAGCAAAAAAAGAGAAGUGCAUAUUAGUGGUUUCAGAUUUAUGCAUAAAUUUCAGUUUGAUGUUGAUGUAUAUAUAGUAUGAUGGCCAUUUCUGCUGCUUUUAAUGGGUAAAAGAAACAUGUAUUUCAUUGUUUAUUAACAGAAGAGGAAAGGAAGGGUAUGAACGAGUUGAACAGUGGAAGAGCAAAGCAAAUGCCAUGGAACAAUGUGUACAGUAGUAGUGAGUCUCUUGACAAGGAAUUCCAUGGAAAAGCUUGGGAUCAUCCAUGAAUGCCAUUUCUUUCGGGUUCGUGGCAACGGCCAUCUUGAUUUCGAUGUUUCUCAUUAUGGCUAUUUUCGAGCAUCUAUUCAGACCGUCUUCCCAGCAAGACUCUUCUACGCAGACGGAAUCAACACAAAUGCACAAGCUUGAGCCCCCUCAUCACCCAGUACAGACAUCAUAUGCAUCAGAUUUCUCAGUGGUGAUGCCAGGACAGCAGUAUCCUAGCUUUAUUGCUCAACCUGCUCCUCUGCCAAGGGAAGGAGAGUGAUUUGGCUCUCCCACUCUCUCUCUCAUCCAACCAACCAAUAAAGCUUACUUCAGUUUGGCAUCUUUUGUACACACCACUUGAUUUAAUGGCUUACAAAUUUUGAUUGCACCA
Molecule: long non-coding RNA, 1784 nt
Organism: Salvia splendens (bonfire salvia)
Lineage: Eukaryota; Viridiplantae; Streptophyta; Magnoliopsida; Lamiales; Lamiaceae
Exons: 4
Source: RefSeq, a predicted model, not a curated record